RNAcentral lists this long non-coding RNA (881 nucleotides) under Salmo salar (Atlantic salmon). Its description in RNAcentral is "lncRNA (ENSSSAG00000087376.1, ENSSSAG00020074798.1)". The record is from RNAcentral. Lineage: Eukaryota; Metazoa; Chordata; Actinopteri; Salmoniformes; Salmonidae.
AUAACAAAACAAAGGUUGAGAGAGGUGUAUUCUGCUAUGAGAGCGCGGAGAGCUCGCGCUCUCUACGGCUUUCUGAGGGGUAUGAAAGCUCCUACUUGAUGCUGCCGCUGGCAGCAGAGAGAGGUCACCUGGGCCUAAGAGGGGAGGCCUACUCUUAACAUCACACAUCCUGCAGGAUACUCACUGUAAACAAUGGCUAACCCCACCCCCAAUCUCCAGCUUCAGCCAGAGUUUUAUGGACUUGGGGACUAUGAAGAGACCCCUGGUGGCAUGUCUUGUGGGACAUUCUCAAAUUGAAUUAAGGUCCUGUUCUGUGCUGCACCCCCUCGGACCCCUUCGAGAGCCCCCCUGAACCCCCUUGGCCCGGUCCUGUUCCCCUCAUCCAGCCGCCUCGGACUAAUUAAAACCGGUGUGGCCUUGUCUUCGCUGGAUUAACCCUAACGAGGAUCCACUGACUCCACCAGCAUGUGCCUCUUGAUGAGAGAGAGAGAGAGAAACAGAGACAGACAGAAAGAGAAAUGGGAGGAUUUGUCCAGGCAACCUUAGCCUUGAAACCCAACACUUAAUUCACUACAGAUGAUACAGAAAAGAUGGAAGAGAGAGAGAGAAAGAGACAAAUAUACUUAUGUUGAUAGUUUAAAUCACUAGUGUGUGUAGUGUUUUAAAAACUGUUAGUGAACUCAUCGAAAUGUGGCCUGAUUGUGAAGAGAGUCAUAAAACGGACCUCUUGUCAGCCCUCUAUGAAUCCAUCUGAUUCCAUCAUACAGAGAGAUGAAUGCCAAUUCUCUUUCUUUGUGUGUGUGCGUGGGUGCCAGGGGCAGAGCAAAAUUCAAUUCUCUGGCUUUGAUAAUGCAUUAAUAAUAAAAUGCAAUGUUAAAACA